RNAcentral lists this long non-coding RNA (500 nucleotides) under Homo sapiens (human). Its description in RNAcentral is "non-protein coding lnc-LAMTOR1-1:1". The record is from RNAcentral. Lineage: Eukaryota; Metazoa; Chordata; Mammalia; Primates; Hominidae.
GGCUCUGUCCUGCCCACCAGCACUAUGAUGACGAGGAAGAAGAGGAUGAUGAAGAUGAUGAGGAUAGUGAAGAGGACUCAGAGGAUGAUGAGGAUAUGCAGGACAUGGACGAGAUGAAUGACUACAAUGAGUCACCGGAUGAUGGAGAGGUCAAUGAGGUGGACAUGGAAGGCAACGAACAGGAUCAGGACCAGUGGAUGAUCUAGGUAGACAAGGCAGGGUGGCCUCAGGGAGAUUCCAGGCCAGCCCAAACUACCCUGCAUCCCAACCCCCAACCCCUGCCCACAGAACCAGCUGAUGGCCCCAGUGCCUGAAAGUGCCCUUGGGCACCUCCUCAGCUGCUGCCAGGAUCUGGUCUCUUUGGCCCCUCCCAGGCCAUCAGUCUGCACUUGAAAUCCCCAGGGCCUGAAACCUACUCCACCUUCCUGGCCAGUACCUCACCCCUUGAUUGCCAGGUCUGGUCUAAGUUUCUUUAAUAAAGACAAAGGAGUGAUUUUCCA